RNAcentral lists this ribosomal RNA (279 nucleotides) under uncultured bacterium. Its description in RNAcentral is "partial 16S ribosomal RNA". It matches the Rfam family "Bacterial small subunit ribosomal RNA", at positions 506 to 784 of the family's 1533-position model. The record is from RNAcentral.
UGCCAGCCGCCGCGGUAAUACGAAGGGGGCGAGCGUUGUUCGGAAUUAUUGGGCGUAAAGCGUAUGUAGGUGGUCUUUCAAGUCAGACGUGUAAGCCCUCGGCUCAACCGAGGAAUUGCGUUUGAAACUGAUCGACUUGAGUGCAGGAGAGGAAAGCGGAAUUCCCAGUGUAGCGGUGAAAUGCGUUGAUAUUGGGAAGAACACCGGUGGCGAAGGCGGAUUUCUGGUCUGCUACUGACACUGAGGUACGAAAGCGGGGGGAGCAAAGGGGAUGAGAUA